GAUGAACGCUGGCGGCGUGCCUAAUACAUGCAAGUCGAGCGAACAGACGAGGAGCUUGCUCCUCUGACGUUAGCGGCGGACGGGUGAGUAACACGUGGAUAACCUACCUAUAAGACUGGGAUAACUUCGGGAAACCGGAGCUAAUACCGGAGAAUAUAUUGAAGCGCAUGGUUCAAUAGUGAAAGACGGUGUUGCCGUCACUUAUGGAUGGAUCCGCGCCGCAUCAGCGAGUUGGUGGGGUAAUGGCUUACCAAGGCUACGCCGGGUUGCCGACCGGAGAGGGUGAACGGCCACAUUGGGACUGAGAUCCGGCCCAGACUCCUACGGGAGGCAGCAGUGGGGAAUUUUGCACAAUGGGCGGAAGCCUGAUGCAGCAACGCCUCGUGCGGGAUGACGGCCUUCGGGUUGUAACCCGCUUUCGCCUGUGACGAAGCGUGAGUGCCGGUCAUGGGUAAAGAAGCACCGGCUAACUACGUG
RNAcentral lists this ribosomal RNA (477 nucleotides) under uncultured bacterium. RNAcentral describes it as "partial 16S ribosomal RNA". It matches the Rfam family "Bacterial small subunit ribosomal RNA", at positions 28 to 507 of the family's 1533-position model. The record is from RNAcentral.